Molecule: ribosomal RNA, 1245 nt
Filed under: uncultured bacterium
Lineage: Bacteria
Description: bacterial SSU rRNA
Rfam family: Bacterial small subunit ribosomal RNA
Source: RNAcentral
AAGAGUUUGAUCCUGGCUCAGGAUGAACGCUGGCGGCGUGCCUAACACAUGCAAGUCGAGCGAUUCUCUUAGGAGAAGAGCGGCGGACGGGUGAGUAACGCGUGGGUAACCUGCCCUGUACACACGGAUAACAUACCGAAAGGUAUGCUAAUACGGGAUAACAUAUUUUGAUGGCAUCAUCGAAAUAUCAAAGCUUUGGCGGUACAGGAUGGACCCGCGUCUGAUUAGCUAGUUGGUGAGGUAAUGGCUCACCAAGGCGACGAUCAGUAGCCGACCUGAGAGGGUGAUCGGCCACAUUGGAACUGAGACACGGUCCAAACUCCUACGGGAGGCAGCAGUGGGGAAUAUUGCGCAAUGGGGGCAACCCUGACGCAGCGACGCCGCGUGGAUGCGAUGAAGGCCUUAGGGUCGUAAAGCUCUGUCCUCAAGGAAGAUAAUGACGGUACUUGAGGAGGAAGCCCCGGCUAACUACGUGCCAGCAGCCGCGGUAAUACGUAGGGGGCUAGCGUUAUCCGGAAUUAUUGGGCGUAAAGGGUGCGUAGGCGGCUUCUUAAGUCAGGUGUGAAAUACCCGGGCUUAACUUGGGAGGUGCAUCCAAAACUGGUAGACUAGAGUACAGGAGAGGGAAGCGGAAUUCCUAGUGUAGCGGUGAAAUGCGUAGAUAUUAGGAGGAACACCAGUGGCGAAGGCGGCUUUCUGGACUGACACUGACGCUGAGGCACGAAAGCGUGGGGAGCAAACAGGAUUAGAUACCCUGGUAGUCCACGCUGUAAACGAUGAAUACUAGGUGUAGGGGGUAUCAACUCCCCCUGUGCCGGAGCAAACGCAAUAAGUAUUCCGCCUGGGGAGUACGGCCGCAAGGUUGAAACUCAAAGGAAUUGACGGGGGCCCGCACAAGCAGCGGAGCAUGUGGUUUAAUUCGAAGCAACGCGAAGAACCUUACCAAGGCUUGACAUCCUGCUAAACUCAUGGAAACAUGAGGUCCCUUCGGGGGAGCAGAGACAGGUGGUGCAUGGUUGUCGUCAGCUCGUGUCGUGAGAUGUUGGGUUAAGUCCCGCAACGAGCGCAACCCUUGUUGCCAGUUACCAGCGAGUAAAGUCGGGGACUCUGGUGAGACUGCCGGGGAUAACUCGGAGGAAGGUGGGGACGACGUCAAAUCAUCAUGCCCCUUAUGUCUUGGGCUACACACGUGCUACAAUGGCUGUAACAAAGGGAAGCGACAGCGUAAGCUGAAGCGGAUCUCAG